AUUGAACGCUGGCGGAAUGCUUUACACAUGCAAGUCGAACGGUAGAGGGGGCAACCCCUUGAGAGUGGCGAACGGGUGAGUAAUAUAUCGGAACGUGCCCAGUCGUGGGGAUAACGUAGCGAAAGUUACGCUAAUACCGCAUACGAUCUACGGAUGAAAGCGGGGGACUCGCAAGAGCCUCGCGCGAUUGGAGCGGCCGAUAUCAGAUUAGGUAGUUGGUGGGGUAAAGGCUCACCAAGCCAACGAUCUGUAGCUGGUCUGAGAGGACGACCAGCCACACUGGAACUGAGACACGGUCCAGACUCCUACGGGAGGCAGCAGUGGGGAAUUUUGGACAAUGGACGCAAGUCUGAUCCAGCCAUUCCGCGUGCAGGAUGAAGGCCCUCGGGUUGUAAACUGCUUUUGUACGGAACGAAACGGUGAGCUCUAAUACAGUUUGCUAAUGACGGUACCGUAAGAAUAAGCAACCGGCUAACUACGU
Molecule: ribosomal RNA, 481 nt
Filed under: uncultured bacterium
Lineage: Bacteria
Description: bacterial SSU rRNA
Rfam family: Bacterial small subunit ribosomal RNA
Source: RNAcentral